GUGCCAGCAGCCGGCGGUAAUACGUAGGGUGCAAGCGUUAAUCGGAAUUACUGGGCGUAAAGCGUGCGCAGGCGGUUGUGCAAGACAGGUGUGAAAUCCCCGGGCUUAACCUGGGAACUGCAUUUGUGACUGCACGGCUAGAGUGUGUCAGAGGGGGGUAGAAUUCCACGUGUAGCAGUGAAAUGCGUAGAGAUGUGGAGGAACACCGAUGGCGAAGGCAGCCCCCUGGGAUAACACUGACGCUCAUGCACGAAAGCGUGGGGAGCAAACAGGAUUAGAUACCCUGGUAGUCC
This 293-nucleotide ribosomal RNA is filed under the name uncultured microorganism. RNAcentral describes it as "partial 16S ribosomal RNA". It matches the Rfam family "Bacterial small subunit ribosomal RNA", at positions 505 to 796 of the family's 1533-position model. The record is from RNAcentral.